UACGUAGGUGGCAAGCGUCGUCCGGGGUUAUUGGGCGUAAAGCGCGCGCAGGCGGUGCGGUAAGUCUCUGGUGAAAGCGCUCGGCUUAACUGGGCGAGGGCCGGGGAGACUGCCACGCUGGAGGGGAGCAGAGGCGAGUGGAAUUCCGGGUGUAGUGGUGAAAUGCGUAGAGAUCCGGAGGAACACCAGUGGCGAAGGCGGCUCGCUGGGCUCUACCUGACGCUGAGGCGCGAAAGCGUGGGGAGCGAACCGG
Molecule: ribosomal RNA, 253 nt
Filed under: uncultured bacterium
Lineage: Bacteria
Description: partial 16S ribosomal RNA
Rfam family: Bacterial small subunit ribosomal RNA
Source: RNAcentral